GAUGAACGCUGGCGGCGUGCCUAAUACAUGCAAGUCGAGCGAACAGACGAGGAGCUUGCUCCUCUGACGUUAGCGGCGGACGGGUGAUUAACACGUGGAUAACCUACCUAUAAGACUGGGAUAACUUCGGGAAACCGGAGCUAAUACCGGAUAAUAUAUUGAACCGCAUGGUUCAAUAGUGAAAGACGGUUUUGCUGUCACUUAUAGAUGGAUCCGCGCCGCAUUAGCUAGUUGGUAAGGUAACGGCUUACCAAGGCAACGAUGCGUAGCCGACCUGAGAGGGUGAUCGGCUACACUGGAACUGAGACACGGUCCAGACUCCUACGGGAGGCCGCGGUAGGGAAUCUUACGCGAUGGGCGAAAGCCUGACGGAGCAACGCCGCGUGAGUGAUGAAGGUCUUCGGAUCGUAAAACUCUGUUAUUAGGGAAGAACAAAUGUGUAAGUAACUAUGCACGUAUUGACGGUACCUAGUCAGAAAGCCACGGCUAACUACGUG
RNAcentral lists this ribosomal RNA (497 nucleotides) under uncultured bacterium. RNAcentral's name for it is "partial 16S ribosomal RNA". It matches the Rfam family "Bacterial small subunit ribosomal RNA", at positions 28 to 507 of the family's 1533-position model. The record is from RNAcentral.